CAGCACCUCAAGUGGUCAGGAUGAUUAUUGGGCCUAAAGCAUCCGUAGCCUGCUUUGUUAGUUUUCGGUUAAAUCCAUAUGCUCAACGUAUGGGCUGCCGGGAAUACUGCAAAGCUAGGGAGUGGGAGAGGUAGACGGUACUCGGUAGGAAGGGGUAAAAUCCUUUGAUCUAUUGAUGACUACCUGUGGCGAAGGCGGUCUACCAGAACACGUCCGACGGUGAGGGAUGAAAGCUGGGGGAGCAAACCGGAUUAGAUACCCGAGUAGUCC
Molecule: ribosomal RNA, 270 nt
Filed under: uncultured archaeon
Lineage: Archaea
Description: partial 16S ribosomal RNA
Rfam family: Archaeal small subunit ribosomal RNA
Source: RNAcentral